This 751-nucleotide long non-coding RNA is filed under the name Rattus norvegicus (Norway rat). RNAcentral describes it as "long non-coding RNA NONRATT026270". Lineage: Eukaryota; Metazoa; Chordata; Mammalia; Rodentia; Muridae. The record is from RNAcentral.
UUCCCACCUAGGGUUCUUCACCUUUUGUGAGCCUCAGGGACUGGUUAGUUUUGGCUUCCAUCUCCAUUAACUGGGCCUCAGGGGAAGGCAUCAUUACUAGGUGGUGCUGGUUCCAGAUGGCCCCAGCUCAUGCCUCUUAAGCACCAAUGUCCCUCUACCCACAAAGAAUGCCCAUUAUCUUAGGUUGAGGAAAGUUGCAGCUCCUGUGGGAAUGUAGUGUUAUUGGAUGAAUGGAUAUGUAUGUAUGAAUGUACCUAUGUAUGUAUGUAUGUAUGUAUGUAUGUAUGUAUUUAUGUACAUACUACGUACCUACGUACACACAUAUUCUUAUGUCCUUUCCCACCUCCCUCCCACUUCUCCACUUGCUUUCUCUUAGUUCAUAGAAAAACUGACAUAUUCUGAGGUCCUCCCUGGAACAGCCAGGUUGGGUUACAGCCCGUAUCAGCGAUGACGGUGACUGCCAAGCUGCCACACUAAAAAGUAGACAGACUGAGAUGGGAUCUGUCACCCGUGAAGAGAGCUGUGUGAUUACCAUGUCCUUUAACUGACUGUCCCUGCACUUGAGCCCAGCUCACCUCUGGUCCCUUGAGUGUCUCAGAGCAUCCUUCCAUGGUUUGACUUCUGUCCUGUAAAUCCAAGACCCAUUCUUUCUGUAUGUCUAGAUAUCUGUGCUUCAUUAGGACCCUGACUUCUAAUUUUUCUGAAUUUUUUCCCCUCAGGGUGGAAGCCCAACUCCCUUUGACAGGAAUUU